UACAGAACGAACGCUGGCGGCGCGUCUUAAGCAUGCAAGUCGAACGGCAAGAGGUAGCAAUACCUCCUAGAGUGGCGGACUGGUGAGUAACACGUGGGUGACAUACCCUUCAGAUGGGGAUAGCUAUUAGAAAUAGUAGAUAAUACCGAAUACGAGCACAGGGGUUAGAGAUCUGUGAGGAAAGGAGCUAAGGCUCCGCUGAAGGAAUGGCCUGCGGCCCAUUAGCUAGUUGGUGAGGUAAGAGCCCACCAAGGCGAUGAUGGGUAUCCGGCCUUAGAGGGUGAACGGACACAUUGGGACUGAGAUACGGCCCAGACUCCUACGGGAGGCAGCAGCUAAGAAUAUUCCGCAAUGGACGAAAGUCUGACGGAGCGACGCCGCCGUGGAUGAAGAAGGCCGGAAGGUUGUAAAAUCCUUUUGAAACUGAAGAAUAAGCGUUGUAGGGAAUGACAGCGUGGUGACAGUAGGUUUUGAAUAAGCAACGGCUAAUUACGUGCCAGCCGCCGC
RNAcentral lists this ribosomal RNA (507 nucleotides) under uncultured bacterium. RNAcentral's name for it is "bacterial SSU rRNA". It matches the Rfam family "Bacterial small subunit ribosomal RNA", at positions 23 to 518 of the family's 1533-position model. The record is from RNAcentral.